UUGCAUGAGGGAUAGCAGUGGAAAUCCUUUUGUUUUUUUCUUUAAAAAACAAAAGAUUGAAACGAAUAGCCCGACCCGCU
This 80-nucleotide small RNA is filed under the name Flavobacterium sp. 9. Its description in RNAcentral is "Flavo-1 RNA". It matches the Rfam family "Flavo-1 RNA". The record is from RNAcentral. Lineage: Bacteria; Pseudomonadati; Bacteroidota; Flavobacteriia; Flavobacteriales; Flavobacteriaceae.